GACGAACGCUGGCGGCGUGCUUAACACAUGCAAGUCGAACGGAAAGGCCCUGCUUUUGUGGGGUGCUCGAGUGGCGAACGGGUGAGUAACACGCGAGUAACCUGCCCUUGACUUUGGGAUAACUUCAGGAAACUGGGGCUAAUACCGGAUAGGAUCUCCUGCUGCACGGGGGGGGUUGGAAAGUUUCGGCGGUUGGGGAUGGACUCGCGGGUUAUCAGCUUCUUGGUGGGGUAGUGGCUUACCAAGGUUUUGACGGGUAGCCGGCCUGAGAGGGUGACCGGCCACCUUGGGACUGAGAGAGGGCCCAGACGGCUACGGGAGGCAACAGGGGGAAACAUGACACAGUGAGCGGAAGCCUGAGACAACGACGCCGGGUGCGGAAAGACCGCCUUCGGGUUGAAAACCAAUGUCGCCUGAGACGUGGCGGGCGUGACGGUACUGGGUAAGGAAGCACCGGCUAACUACGUG
This 468-nucleotide ribosomal RNA is filed under the name uncultured bacterium. Its description in RNAcentral is "partial 16S ribosomal RNA". It matches the Rfam family "Bacterial small subunit ribosomal RNA", at positions 28 to 507 of the family's 1533-position model. The record is from RNAcentral.